This 573-nucleotide ribosomal RNA is filed under the name uncultured bacterium. Its description in RNAcentral is "partial 16S ribosomal RNA". It matches the Rfam family "Bacterial small subunit ribosomal RNA", at positions 355 to 921 of the family's 1533-position model. The record is from RNAcentral.
CUAAGAAUAUUCCGCAAUGGACGGAAGUCUGACGGAGCGACGCCGCGUGGAUGACGAAGGCCGAAAGGUUGUAAAGUUCUUUUGCUGGGGAAGAAUAACCGCAGGAGGGAAUGCCUGUGGGAUGACAAGAACCGGCGAAUAAGCCCCGGCCAACUACGUGCCAGCAGCCGCGGUAACACGUAGGGGGCGAGCGUUGUUCGGAAUUACUGGGCGUAAAGGGCAUGUAGGCGGCUUGGAAAGCCUGGCGUGAAAGUCUGCAGCUUAACUGCAGGGGUGCGCUGGGAACUGCUGAGCUUGAGUGACGGAGAGGGAGCUGGAAUUCCUGGUGUAGGGGGUGAAAUCUGUAGAUAUCAGGAAGAACACCGAUGGCGGAGGCAAGCUCCUGGCCGAUGACUGACGCUGAGGUGCGAAAGUGUGGGGAUCAAACAGGAUUAGAUACCCUGGUAGUCCACACAGUCAACGAUGUGCACUAGGUGCUGGGGCGGUAGCUUCGGUGCCGGAGCGAACGUGGUAAGUGCACCGCCUGGGGCAGUAUGCUCGCAAGGGUGAAACUCAAGGAAGUUGACGGGGGUC